GAUGAACGCUGGCGGCGUGCCUAAUACAUGCAAGUCGAGCGAACAGAUGAGGAGCUUGCUCCUCUGACGUUAGCGGCGGACGGGUGAGUAACACGCGGAUAACCUACCUAUAAGACUGGGAUAACUUCGGGAAACCGGAGCUAAUACCGGAUAAUAUAUUGAACCGCAUGGUUCAAUAGUGAAAGACGGUUUUGCUGUCACUUAUAGAUGGAUCCGCGCCGCAUUAGCUAGUUGGUAAGGUAACGGCUUACCAAGGCAACGAUGCGUAGCCGACCUGAGAGGGUGAUCGGCCACACUGGAACUGAGACACGGUCCAGACUCCUACGGGAGGCAGCAGUAGGGAAUCUUCCGCAAUGGGCGAAAGCCUGACGGAGCAACGCCGCGUGAGUGAUGAAGGUCUUCGGAUCGUAAAACUCUGUUAUUAGGGAAGAACAAAUGUGUAAGUAACUAUGCACGUCUUGACAGUACCUAAUCAGAAAGCCACGGCUAACUACGUG
RNAcentral lists this ribosomal RNA (497 nucleotides) under uncultured bacterium. RNAcentral describes it as "partial 16S ribosomal RNA". It matches the Rfam family "Bacterial small subunit ribosomal RNA", at positions 28 to 507 of the family's 1533-position model. The record is from RNAcentral.